Molecule: ribosomal RNA, 424 nt
Filed under: uncultured Raoultibacter sp.
Lineage: Bacteria; Bacillati; Actinomycetota; Coriobacteriia; Eggerthellales; Eggerthellaceae
Description: bacterial SSU rRNA
Rfam family: Bacterial small subunit ribosomal RNA
Source: RNAcentral
CCUACGGGAGGCAGCAGUGGGGAAUAUUGCACAAUGGGCGAAAGCCUGAUGCAGCAACGCCGCGUGAGGGAUGAAGGCCUUCGGGUCGUAAACCUCUGUCCUUGGGGAAGAAACAAAUGACGGUACCCAUGGAGGAAGCCCCGGCUAACUACGUGCCAGCAGCCGCGGUAAUACGUAGGGGGCGAGCGUUAUCCGGAAUUAUUGGGCGUAAAGAGUGCGUAGGUGGUUACCUAAGCGCAGGGUCUAAGGCAAUGGCUCAACCAUUGUUCGCCCUGCGAACUGGGCUACUUGAGUGCAGGAGAGGAAAGCGGAAUUCCUAGUGUAGCGGUGAAAUGCGUAGAUAUUAGGAGGAACACCAGUGGCGAAGGCGGCUUUCUGGACUGUUACUGACACUGAGGCACGAAAGCGUGGGGAGCAAACAGGA